Cephus cinctus (wheat stem sawfly) is the source of this 1963-nucleotide RNA transcript. RefSeq lists it as uncharacterized. NCBI's taxonomy places the organism in Eukaryota, Metazoa, Arthropoda, Insecta, Hymenoptera, Cephidae. The transcript has 6 exons. The record is from RefSeq and is a predicted model, not a curated record.
AAUUAUGAAAAUAUUGAGCUUUGAAAAUGACUCACCAAGAGAAAGUAAGCUGGUAUUAAUAAUAUAGUAAGAUAUGUAAGUAGGACCAUAUACGUAUACAGAUAGAAACACGAGUAUUGCGAGAGUAUUAAAAGACCAUUACCUAAAGAUAAGACAAAGUGAAAAUAAAAAAGAACAAAAAAACAGGUCACGUGAGAUCAGCGAUACUUCGCAUAGCUUAAACUUGUAGUUCCGUCAUAACUCGUACUAAGAGGUACAUUGAGCUACCCGAGGUUAUUAUGUAUUAUGAAUCCGCACAAUGGUCGAUGAAUUCGUUGAAAAAAAAAUAAUAUGAAAAAGUGUAAAAAUUGCUAAAAAAAAAUUGGUAAUUCAUUUCGUAAAUGGCAGGUGCAGUUUUUUUUGCAUUACUCGCAGAGGUUACGGUACAUCAUUCAAAUCGAAUGUGAUGACUUUCCGUUCGGAUAACCAUAUAGAAUGGCUGUUAGGAGUAGAUUUAAAAAAUAGGUUUCAAAAAAUUCUGCCAUUUUGUCCAUUGAAAAUUAUCGGUCCUUCCAAUACGAGCGAAAUGGAUUAUUGACUUUAAAAAAUGUCACUCUGCUUUAACGAGAAUACGUGUCACUAUAUCACUAUGCUAAUAGCUUCUCCAUACAUAGAGGAACUCGAGGCUUCUCUCUUAACUUCGUACUACCUACACUUACCUGUCAGAUUCCAGUAUGCAUGACCAUUCAAGGAUUGGCUACGCGUCAUCAGGUGGAAAUAGCAACGCCUGUCGCCGAUGCGUAGGCGACCUGCCAAUAUCUCGUUCCUUGUAUGAGAAAAAUGGCGACUGGAGAAAGAAAUGACAAAAUUUUGUGAAGAUCGUUGAAUAUUUUUUCAUCAAGUUCAAAAUACAAUAUGACGAAGAUGGCUACUUAACACAGAGAAUCAUUGUACUGCGGUCAUUGAUACAAGAUAAGGAACAAGAUGCAUCCUAGCUCGAACUACCUGGUGCAUCGUGGAGCUGUUAAUCGUAGUUAUUCGACCGACGGUGAAGAAAGUCAACGAGCUCCUUCCGAUCGUACAAUGUCAGAAUACAUUGUUGCCAACGAGCAUGCUUCCAUGGUGAAGCCAAUGGUUCCAUCUCGAAAGAAUCGUGGCGAAAAGCACGAGAGGAGAUCACGAAGUGCGCAUGGCGGACGUGGUUCUGUAUUAUCUGGUGCAUCCAGACAGAGUUUGAAUCAUUUAAACAAAAGUGCAUCUCAUGGUAGUCUUUGUGACAAUGGUUCAGAUAUUUAUGUAACAAGUGCAGCGUACAAGGCGCCUUCAGAAAUAAGUCGAGGCUCGCACUAUAGUUUAGCUCCAAGUUUGAGGGCUGGACACAAAGCACCGAGUCACUACAGUUAUCGUUCCGGCAGAUCCGGAACUUCGACAGUGAAGACGCGAACGUCCCGGAAAGGUGGUGUCGUUGUAGAAACAAUGUCUGCACCGAAUCCAUUUUGUCCCAACACUAAAGGCAUCUGCUGUUUAAUGCUGCUACUCAACCUUGGCUUGAUACUCAUUACUCUGGGUUUUGUUAUAGUCAUACAACUUUUUGAACCACUCUUUGUCUGGAUUUUGGGGAUUGUCUUUCUUAUCUUUGGCUUUCUUACGCUAAUCGGUAGUUUAGUGUAUUGCGUACAUGUCUUCAGGAAUGCCAAACAUCCUCAUGACAUACAUCCGGAAGAUUUGUACUGGACAAGGCACUGGCAAGGACGAGUAGGGUCACCACCAGAAAUUCAUUAUAAAGCAGAGGACAAAUAUCAAGAUGAUGGUUAUAGCGACCGUUAUAGUAAAUAUUCAGGCAAGAUGUCUGACAGGCAUAGUCAACGUUAUUAAGCUUUGAAGACUUACUAAUUAAGAGAUUUCUUGACAACUUUCUUGAACUGUGAGGUGCGUUAAUUAGGGGUGCAAUGAAAACUUGCUUUCUGUGGAUGAAGAUCGGAUG